RNAcentral lists this ribosomal RNA (467 nucleotides) under uncultured bacterium. RNAcentral's name for it is "partial 16S ribosomal RNA". It matches the Rfam family "Bacterial small subunit ribosomal RNA", at positions 28 to 506 of the family's 1533-position model. The record is from RNAcentral.
GACGAACGCUGGCGGCGUGCUUAACACAUGCAAGUCGAACGGAAAGGCCCUGCUUUUGUGGGGUGCUCGAGUGGCGAACGGGUGAGUAACACGUGAGUAACCUGCCCUUGACUUUGGGAUAACUUCAGGAAACUGGGGCUAAUACCGGAUAGGAGCUCCUGCUGCAUGGUGGGGGUUGGAAAGUUUCGGCGGUUGGGGAUGGACUCGCGGCUUAUCAGCUUGUUGGUGGGGUAGUGGCUUACCAAGGCUUUGACGGGUAGCCGGCCUGGGAGGGUGACCGGCCACAUUGGGACUGGGAUACGGCCCGGACUCCUACGGGGGGAAGCGGUGGGGAAUAUUGCACAAUGGGCGGAGGCCUGAUGCAGCAACGCCGCGUGCGGGAGGACGGCCUUCGGGUUGUAAACGGCUUUCGCCUGUGACGAAGCGUGAGUGACGGUAAUGGGUAAAGAAGCACCGGCUAACUACGU